Molecule: ribosomal RNA, 467 nt
Filed under: uncultured bacterium
Lineage: Bacteria
Description: partial 16S ribosomal RNA
Rfam family: Bacterial small subunit ribosomal RNA
Source: RNAcentral
GACGAACGCUGGCGGCGUGCCUAACACAUGCAAGUCGAACGGACAGGCCUCUUUCGUGGUGUACUCGCGUGGCGAACGGGCGAGUAACACGCGCGUAACUUGCCCUUGUCUUUGGGUUAACUUCCGUCAACUGGGGCUAAUACCUGCUAGGUGCUCCUUCUGCACGGAUGGUUCUGUAAAGUUUCGGCGUUUGGGUGUGGACUCGCGGGUUAUCCGCUUGUCGUUGGGGUAGUGGGUUACCAAGGCCUUGACGUGUAGCCGGACUGAGAGGGUGAUCGGCCACAGUGGGACUGAGAGACGGCCCAGACACCGACGGGAGGCAGCAGUGGGGAAGAUUGAAGAAGGGGUGGAAGCCGGAUGCAGAAACGCCGGGGGCGGGAUGACGGCCUUCGGGUUGUAAACCGCAUUCGCUCAUGACGAAGCUUUGUGUGACGGUAGUGAGUAAAGAAGCACCGGCUAACUACGUG